RNAcentral lists this long non-coding RNA (202 nucleotides) under Lathyrus oleraceus (garden pea). RNAcentral's name for it is "Pisum sativum (pea) long non-coding RNA (PSAT_LNC005936)". Lineage: Eukaryota; Viridiplantae; Streptophyta; Magnoliopsida; Fabales; Fabaceae. The record is from RNAcentral.
AGAAGCAUUGAUCAACCAAGUCAACAACUCAAGUCAAACAAAAGUCAACCAAAAAUCAAACAAAAAUGAAUUAAAAAGGAAAAUUAAAAUGAUUUAUGAUGAAAAAUAAAGAGAAAAUUAAAAUCAAGCACCAAAACAUAAAAGAAAUGGUUGAGAAAACUAUGAGAAGUCAAAAAUAUUACAAAUAAAAAGACCUCAAAAG